Molecule: unclassified non-coding RNA, 289 nt
Filed under: uncultured fungus
Lineage: Eukaryota; Fungi
Also listed under: 1 other name
Description: partial contains 5.8S ribosomal RNA, internal transcribed spacer 2, and large subunit ribosomal RNA
Rfam family: 5.8S ribosomal RNA (bases 1-52)
Source: RNAcentral
AACGCAUCUUGCGCUCCUUGGUAUUCCGAGGAGCAUGCCUGUUUGAGUGUCAUUAAAUUCUCAACCUUGCCUGCAUUUUGCAAGCAAGGCUUGGAUGUGGGGGUUUAUGCUGGCUUAUAAUGAGUCGGCUCCCCUGGAAUGCAUUAGUAGCUCACUUCGCACUAUUCAGCGUGAUAAUAUCUACACUGCUUAGGUGAAAUGCAUGAACUGCUUCAAACCGUCUGAGUUUCUCGGACACUAUAAUGACAAUCUUGACCUCAAAUCAGGUAGGACUACCCGCUGAACUUAA